UACGUAGGGUGCAAGCGUUAAUCGGAAUACUGGGCGUAAAGCGUGCGCAGGCGGCUUUGCAAGACAGAUGUGAAAUCCCCGGGCUCAACCUGGGAACUGCAUUUGUGACUGCAUGGCUAGAGUGCGGCAGAGGGGGAUGGAAUUCCGCGUGUAGCAGUGAAAUGCGUAGAUAUGCGGAGGAACACCGAUGGCGAAGGCAGCCCCCUGGGUCAAGAUUGACGCUCAUGCACGAAAGCUAGGGGAGCGAAUGGG
Molecule: ribosomal RNA, 252 nt
Filed under: uncultured bacterium
Lineage: Bacteria
Description: partial 16S ribosomal RNA
Rfam family: Bacterial small subunit ribosomal RNA
Source: RNAcentral